AUAGUGUUCCAGGCACUGGGC
This 21-nucleotide unclassified non-coding RNA is filed under the name Mus musculus (house mouse). RNAcentral describes it as "oocyte_clustered_small_RNA5113". Lineage: Eukaryota; Metazoa; Chordata; Mammalia; Rodentia; Muridae. The record is from RNAcentral.